Small nucleolar RNA from Scleropages formosus (Asian bonytongue), 72 nucleotides. Its record names the gene SNORD24. It matches the Rfam family "Small nucleolar RNA SNORD24". From Rfam's summary of the family: U24 is a member of the C/D class of snoRNA which contain the C (UGAUGA) and D (CUGA) box motifs. Lineage: Eukaryota; Metazoa; Chordata; Actinopteri; Osteoglossiformes; Osteoglossidae. The record is from Ensembl.
UGCAGAUGAUGUGAUAGAAUAUUUGCUAUCUGAGCCCCAAUGAUGAUACAUACCACCAAGAUCGCUGAUGCA